This 494-nucleotide ribosomal RNA is filed under the name uncultured bacterium. RNAcentral describes it as "partial 16S ribosomal RNA". It matches the Rfam family "Bacterial small subunit ribosomal RNA", at positions 28 to 507 of the family's 1533-position model. The record is from RNAcentral.
GACGAACGCUGGCGGCGUGCUUAACACAUGCAAGUCGAACGGAAAGGCCUGCUUUCCCUUGUGGAUUGCGGGUACUCGAGUGGCGAACGGGUGAGUAACACGUGAGUGAUCUGCCCCCAACUUGGGUAUAAGCCUGGGAAACUGGGUCUAAUUCCCGAUAGGACUGCAGGGUGGUUCCUGUGGUGGAAAACGAUUUUCUAGUGGUUGGGGAUGAGCUCGCGGCCUAUCAGCUUGUUGGUGGGGUAAUGGUCUACCAAGGCGGCGACGGGUAGCCGGCCUGAGAGGGUGGACGGCCACAUUGGGACUGAGAUACGGCCCAGACUCCUACGGGAGGCAGCAGUGGGGAAUAUUGCACAAUGGGCGGAAGCCUGAUGCAGCGACGCCGCGUGGGGGAUGACGGCCUUCGGGUUGUAAACUCCUUUCGACCGCGAGGAAGCCACCUGGUUGGAAGGGUGGUGACGGUAGUGGUAGAAGAAGCACCGGCUAACUACGUG